Molecule: transfer RNA, 73 nt
Filed under: candidate division CPR3 bacterium GWF2_35_18
Lineage: Bacteria; candidate division CPR3
Also listed under: 1 other name
Description: tRNA-Arg
Rfam family: tRNA
About the family: Transfer RNA (tRNA) molecules are approximately 80 nucleotides in length. Their secondary structure includes four short double-helical elements and three loops (D, anti-codon, and T loops).
Source: RNAcentral
GCGCCUGUAGCUCAUCUGGUAGAGCGUUCGCUCUCGGAGCAAAAGGUACUGCGUUCAAUUCGCAGCAGGCGCG